Petromyzon marinus (sea lamprey) is the source of this 260-nucleotide long non-coding RNA. RefSeq lists it as uncharacterized. NCBI's taxonomy places the organism in Eukaryota, Metazoa, Chordata, Hyperoartia, Petromyzontiformes, Petromyzontidae. The record is from RefSeq and is a predicted model, not a curated record.
CGAGCGGGCGUUGAGCGGCUGAACGCCGUGAUUGUUUUAUUGCCCCAUGUUUGUCGUGUUCACAGAGGACAAGACACCACCAUCGUCGUCGUCGUCAGCUGAGAAGACAGACGACAAGAGCCAGAACAAGACAUCAUCGUCGUCAUCAUCAGCCGAGAAAGCAGACGACAAGAACCAGAACAAGACAUUGUCAGCCGGGAAGACAGGCGACGAGAGCCAGAACAAGACAUCGCCGUCGUCAGCCGAGAAGUCAGACGGCA